UUGUCCUGGACUGGAGACUGAAGUCCAGAAGAGGUUCACCACAGGCAGCCGCAGUGCAAGCUUCUUCAUGUACUCUCAUACCAGCAUGCCUCAAACCUUCCCUAGAGGGACCUUCACAGGAGAAGAAAGUAGUUCAGUCUCCAUUCCUAUUCAUGCAUUUUUCUCU
Molecule: unclassified non-coding RNA, 166 nt
Organism: Chelonoidis abingdonii (Abingdon island giant tortoise)
Lineage: Eukaryota; Metazoa; Chordata; Testudines; Testudinidae
Source: Ensembl